UACUUGCUUCAGCAUGUCAUAUACUAAAAUUGGAAUGAGAUAGAGAGAAAAUUAGUAUGGUCCCUGCACAAGGAUGACACAAAAAUUUGUGAAGAGUUCCAUAUUUAA
Molecule: small nuclear RNA, 108 nt
Filed under: Salvator merianae (Argentine black and white tegu)
Lineage: Eukaryota; Metazoa; Chordata; Lepidosauria; Squamata; Teiidae
Source: RNAcentral